CGUCCGCCACAGGAGGCUACGGGAGCCAUAGGCACACAGACGUGGCGAGGUUCUGGCCCAGGCCCUCGGUGAUGUCCAAGGAGCUGAGGCAUUGACAGAUGCUGGGAGUGAGCUGUGUGGACCCUGGAAGCAAGGGUAUUCCCACUCACGUCGGAGACACUCCUCCAAGGGGAGAAAGAGCACUUACUCCUCCAAAUCCCCCAGGCAGUGGGGUCAGCCGCAAGACCUACUUCAGUGACAGUGCCUCAGGAGGAGCCAGACCUGCCUGCCGGAGGAGAGCGGUUGCUGUGCCCUAAUCUGCCAGGCAGGCCCUUCCCUGGGGGCUCUACCCACAGGGUUCCUUCCUGAGAAUUAGAUAGAGAUGCCCCUUCCUCCCAGUUCACAGGCUGCUUAGGGCUGCCUCAGGGUGCCAGUGGGGGCAGGGUCAUCACAGGGUCUCACACACAGCAGCCUGGGUUGGGGGAGGGGGAACCACACAACUCUUGGGUUUGUGAGCCUGAGGGCCUUUUGGAUUCUGCAGGAGGCACCCAUCCUCCCUUUGGUUGAGUUCAAUCCUUAAUGCCCCCCCCCCAAAAAAAAAACUCUGCCUGGGGUCAUCCAGGGGGUGUGGCAUCCGCCUCAGAGGCUUGUGCAACCACGUUGGUCCCUCAGGGCUCCUACACUGCUCCCACAAGUAUUUGGGGAGGCUCAGUACCAGAGCCUGGGGUGUGUCUCAGUCUGGGAUCCGCUGCCCCAGGGGGCAAGGGAUCCCCUCAGCACUGUGGCCCAGUGGGUUCCUGGAGGGCACCUAGCGCAACUACUCCCACACCCCACACCUGAGCGGGCCUGAAGCCUCCCACCCAGGCAGGGCUGAGAAGCCAGGUCAGGGGCUAGAGCACAUCUUUCUCCUCGUAUCCUGUCCAGACAACAAGUACUGUGUACAACAUGGCGGGGGGGGGGGUGGCAACCAGCGGGAGGAUGCCCCCAACCCCCUACCCCAUGCACCUGUGUAGCUGCUGGUUGAGGUGGGGGCACUGGGCCUGCUGGGGCUCCUUCAGGGAAGUCUGCUUCCUGGGGCAGCUGUGCUGUCCUUCCUCCCAAGUCCCCCAUAGCCCCUUGGCUCUGUGUCUUGUUCUACCCAAGGCCAAAGGAUAAGACCCCUAUCCCCGGCCCCAGCUGCCCACUCUGUGGGGCUGGGCUGAGCAAAGCCUGUGACCCUGAGAGGGGAGAGCAUGCCCAGGGAGUCUGGGCAUGAGCACAGCCCCUGGCCAAGCUGGCCCCCCUUUCCACCCGAGGUGCCCAUCCCUCGUCCCGCCCCCCAGUUGUGUCAAGGCCACCACGCUCCUGCCCUGGUCUAUGCUGGCUGCCCUGGUCUCCCUGGUGGCCUCGAGCACAAUGCUAACUCACUCAGGCUGGGUGAGGGGCCCGCAGGGUGAGGGGCCUGGGCGGGCCUGUGUCCUGAAGGCAUAUGUUCUGGGCAGAAGGAGCCAGGCCCUGGGGUGGGGGAGUACCUCCCCCCAGGUUGACAUGAGAGCUCCUCCUCUCCCAGGCACCCCCUCAGGCCAGGGUGAAGAGGGGAAGGACAGGGCCUGUUGAUGAGCAGAUAGGCCUGGCCUUGAUGGUGGACAAGGCUGCUAGACUGUAAUGUCCCAGCCCUGCCUACGGGCCUUGUCUGAUGUCAAAGGUUGGGUCCAAGACCCCUUGGAAGGGCUCCAGGAAAGAGGAGCAGAACAGAAAUGGUCCCGACAGGCAGGAGAGGAGGGGGUGCAGGACAGGCUGGGCCUAGGGGAGAAGUGAGAGAACCCAGAGGUCCCCAAAAGACACUGAGCUAAGGGAGAGGGGAGCCAGGGAGAGAAAGGCCCGGUUGUAGGGGACAGGCAGCAGAGGAGGGCAGGGAGGAGGGUGGGGCUGAUCUCCCCCUGAGGCGCCUUUCCAGCCUCACUGCUCCCAGGACUCAAGUGUGAGACCUGCUCUGGCCCCGGGACAGAGCCAAGGGGCGUGGGGAGGGCCCAGCCAGAGCCUGGGAGAGGUCAGGGUCUGGAUGGGCCUGCAACCAAGAUCUCAGUUUGGUUCUCCUGUUAGGGUAGGAACCCUGGCCAGCCUGGCCUUCCCUGGACUACAUUGUCCAUGACGGUGUGCCACCCUGCUAAGCCCCCGUAGAGAUAGCAUCUUGCAGCCGGCAACAUUCCCUAUUGUCAGAGAGCCUGGAAACCCAUCCUGGAAUUGGAGUCAUGGGCAGUUGAAGAGCAGGCAGGGGCCUCACCCAGCAGGCUGAAAAAAAUGGGUGUCAUAGUAAGGAAAGGCCUUUACCUCACUGACCCCAGUUAAUCAUAAUAAAAACAAGUAUUGGUUUUUCUCUUCUAAAAGCCUCUAAAUAUGAUACAAAAAUGUCAUGUUAGAAGAGAAAGAUGUUUAAGUUUUCAGUCAUCCUCCAUCAUUUUUCAGAUCUGAAAUCCAUGCCCUCACCAACCCAGACUAGAGGAUGGGCUUCUGCCAAUAAAGGGUGAUCGGUGGCCCCCAGGAAAGGCUCCGGCUGGAUGCUGCCACACCUGCCACCGAGUUUCUAGGGAUUGCCCAUUCCUUUUUUUUUUUUGGCCUCGUGGCUUGCAGGAUCUUAGUUUCCUGACCAGGGACUGCACCUGGGCCCUAGCAGUGAAAGUGUCGAGUCCUAAACACUGGACCUCCAGGGAAUUCCCAAGGGAUUGCCCAUUCCCAUACCCAAGUGCAGUGAGUUGAACAGUGGCCCCCCAAAGAUACAUCGCCCAGAACCUCAGAACAUGACCUUAUUUGGAAUAAUGGUCUUUGCAGAUAUAAUUAAAGCAAGGAUUUCGAGAUAAGGUCAUUCUGGAUUAGGAUGGGCCCUAAAUCCAAUGAUGAGUGUCCGUGUAAGAGAAAGGAGAGGUAUAUUUGGACACAGAGAGACACAGAGAAGACCAGGUGAAGACAGAGGCAGAGACUGCAGUGAGCCUGCACAAGCCCAGGAACGCCUGGAGCCACACAGAAGCCGGAAGCUGUGAUCAAGAAAGGGCUUCCUGUAGGGCCACUGGAGGGAGCUGACAUCUUUAUUUUGGGCUUCUGGCCUGCAGAACUGUGAGAAAAUAAAUUUUUGUUUUAAGUCA
This is a long non-coding RNA of Orcinus orca (killer whale), 3098 nucleotides long. RefSeq lists it as uncharacterized. The transcript is spliced from 2 exons. NCBI's taxonomy places the organism in Eukaryota, Metazoa, Chordata, Mammalia, Artiodactyla, Delphinidae. The record is from RefSeq and is a predicted model, not a curated record.